CUGCCGGUGAUAAACCGGAGGAAGGUGGGGACGACGUCAAGUCAUCAUGGCCCUUACGGGCAGGGCUACACACGUGCUACAAUGGCAUGUACAGAGGGAUGCGAACUCGCGAGAGCAAGCGGACCCCAAAAAGCAUGUCGUAGUCCGGAUCGGAGUCUGCAACUCGACUCCGUGAAGUCGGAAUCGCUAGUAAUCGUAGAUCAGAAUGCUACGGUGAAUACGUUCCCGGGCCUUGUACACACCGCCCGUCACACCAUGGGAGUGGGCUGCAAAAGAAGUGGGUAGUUAACCUCGG
Molecule: ribosomal RNA, 295 nt
Filed under: Agarivorans sp. HR11-37
Lineage: Bacteria; Pseudomonadati; Pseudomonadota; Gammaproteobacteria; Alteromonadales; Alteromonadaceae
Description: partial 16S ribosomal RNA
Rfam family: Bacterial small subunit ribosomal RNA
Source: RNAcentral